CGCGUAGGAAUCUGCCCGGUAGCGGGGAGUAGCCACGAGAAAUUUAGGUAGUUAAUUAACCGCAUACGCCCUAACGGGGGAAAGGGACAGGGGAGUCUUCGGAACCGUUCGUCACUAUCGGAUGAGCCUGCGUCGGAUUAGCUAGUUGGUGGGGUAAGUGGCCUACCAAGGCGACGAUCCGUAGCUGGUCUGAGAGGAUGAUCAGCCACACCGGAACUGAGACACGGUCCGGACUCCUACGGGAGGCAGCAGUGGGGAAUAUUGCACAAUGGGCGGCAAGCCUGAUGCAGCCAUGCCGCG
This 300-nucleotide ribosomal RNA is filed under the name uncultured bacterium. RNAcentral's name for it is "bacterial SSU rRNA". It matches the Rfam family "Bacterial small subunit ribosomal RNA", at positions 114 to 401 of the family's 1533-position model. The record is from RNAcentral.